GAAAUCAUGUCGUUUCCUAGCUAUGCUUUGUUUUAUUUCCCUGACUCGGACAUAGUGGACAGCACCGAUAUCAUUUUAAGAGAACACAGACGAGCAGAGUACCAGUCAGCUCCCGCGAACAACUCAGAAUAGAGGUGCGCCUGACAAGUCGCGGCCGACAUGGACAGAGCAAGAUACUGACAGCAAAAAUACUACUACUUGGUGAUGUUUACAAAGACUUAAUCAUGAAGAGAGAUGCUUUUAAGAGAGGAGAAGACAUCUGGAAGACCACUGCAGAGAAAGGGAAAAAACACCUGAAGCCAUAAAGAGUGCAAGUACAUCUCAAAGUGCAGCUGAUGCUGUAAUGGGAGACAAACUUAAAAGAGACCUCCAGAACCUGCAAAGACAGAAAGCACCUGUAACCUCUACUCCAAUGUCAGGUGACUCAGAUAACACUGACACUGACCUGUUUGAAAAUACAGAGCAGAGACA
This is a long non-coding RNA of Labeo rohita (rohu), 471 nucleotides long. RefSeq lists it as uncharacterized. NCBI's taxonomy places the organism in Eukaryota, Metazoa, Chordata, Actinopteri, Cypriniformes, Cyprinidae. The record is from RefSeq and is a predicted model, not a curated record. The transcript has 3 exons.